Coturnix japonica (Japanese quail) is the source of this 486-nucleotide non-coding RNA. The record is from RefSeq and is a predicted model, not a curated record. Lineage: Eukaryota; Metazoa; Chordata; Aves; Galliformes; Phasianidae.
ACAGCCCUGUGGGUGCUUCCCAGUGCGUGCGGACAGGCAGAGCUGCUGGCCUCAACACAGCUGUGUCCCUGAGUCACUUAUGGGAUGAAGCCAGGAGGUUUGUUGGGUGGUGGUAGAGAGGGGACAGCAGGAGGGACAAGCUCAGAGCUGCCAUAGCCAGCGAGAGUGGGAAUAGUCAGUGGCAAAUCACAGCUAAACACUGCUGAAGAUAUCCUGAGAGCCGAUUCUGACCGCUGGUUUGCCAUCUCUUAUUUUAUUGUCCCGUUAUUUCCCAUUCAUCACCAUAACUCCUGCUUUGUUUCUAAACACCAAGGUAGAAGCAUGGAAUAACUUGGGUUGGAAGGGCCCUUAAAGAUCUUCCAUUUCCAACAAGGUCUUCAGAAAGUGUUUUCAAAUGUUAAAAUAUGUCUUGGCAAACGACUAUACCUAAAAUAGAGAGAAUUAACAUUCAUUAUAGAGGGUAAAAAAAAAAAAAAAAGGAAAAAG